Gadus macrocephalus (Pacific cod) is the source of this 944-nucleotide long non-coding RNA. RefSeq lists it as uncharacterized. The transcript is spliced from 2 exons. The record is from RefSeq and is a predicted model, not a curated record. Lineage: Eukaryota; Metazoa; Chordata; Actinopteri; Gadiformes; Gadidae.
CAGUACGACAUAUUACAGCGGCCAGCAAGUCGCUCUUGAGAAGGCCGUUUAGCGUGUGCUCAUGUGUAAUCUAACCAAGAUACACCGUGGUGAGAGUGGACGUGAGCACAACGCGCUUGGCAGGAGGGAUAGCUUCUCUAAAUGUUCUACUCGAGUAGCAACAGUAGCAACGUGCUACUGAAGGACUCGUCAUGAAAAGAAGACAACAAAGGGGACGAGUGCGGACUACAGGAGGCUCCGGUAGUACGGGAGGGGGAGCCUGCACCCGUUCGCACCAAUGGAAACAUGGGGGACUGGUCAGCUGCUUUAGGUUCCUUGGGGGUGGACAUUAACACAAAUACCUGGUGGUCAAAUCAGCAAAGAAAAGUAUCUUCUCCCGGAGGAGACUGAAGAAGUAUGGUAUGGACCCGACUGACAUCUUUUGUGCCAAGGAGUAUUCAGUUGAUUACCAGGUUGAAUUCAGUCCAGCUCUACAAAGACACAUGGGCGAUAUGUGGCGGCCAGCUGGAGGACAAUGAUGCAGAAAGGAGACGUUCAAUAGGAACUCUGUUGAAAGAACAGAACAAGGCUUAGCCGGCUAUUGGAUUCAAACAACCAUUGACGCAUUCAGCUUCAAAAGCAGCAAUGUUCUUUCCCUGGUCGAUGUGUUUUUCCGACUUUCACGAUAGCCUUGGGGAUUCUUUACAGAAUGCUGACAAAAGAGCAGAAUACCAUUCCCGGUCCAGGAAUGGACUGUGUCUCCGGCGGCCAGUUUGCCUGCUCAAUAUUCCCCGUCCUGCUCCUGCUUCGACCCACCUGACCUUUACCUCCACUCGGCUGACCCUCAGAAAUCCAAUCUCCAAUAUUUCCUUUGCUUACUCCUAUAUUGGGUUGACUUUGUUGUCUUUUGAAUGUCUUUCUUUUUUUUCCAACUGUUUUUAACAUUAAACUUGUAAUAUAUUUAU